RNAcentral lists this long non-coding RNA (768 nucleotides) under Apteryx owenii (little spotted kiwi). RNAcentral describes it as "lncRNA (ENSAOWG00000015228.1)". Lineage: Eukaryota; Metazoa; Chordata; Aves; Apterygiformes; Apterygidae. The record is from RNAcentral.
ACUUAUAUUUUGCAAGCUGGUGCUUUCAUCUGAGAAGCAUACCACCACAGCAGUGACAUCUGCUCAAGAUCUGUGAAUCUUGAGGGAUUUGGAGGUAGAAGGCCAUCAUUACCAAAAGAAAGGAAGUGCUUAUCGCAACAGUGCCAUCCUCCUCCCAGAAAGUUGAUUCUCCAAGUUUGGACUGCAAUGCUGAAUGUUACUGUGUGUAACCCCUCUGUGAAGACUUAGAAGGCAAGAUAGGUGUUAUCUCUGCAGCUGGGAGUGCCAGGUCCUUUCGCUGGAUGUUUUCCAGUGACCUUUGGAGUCCCUGCAGGGAGUGAGGGGCCCUAUCUCACGUCACCCGCCAGUGGUUCCAUGAGAGUUGAUGCUGCCCCAUCAGCCUGCCACAUGGUCAGUCUGGCAGUGAAAUCGCUCUGCAGCAGGGUCAACAUGCUGCAGAUGGGUAUUUCAGCACAGUAUUCCAACCUAUACCCCCAAGAUCAUGUCCACAGUACAAACAAGGACUGGUUAGAAAGGAUGAUAAAGCCUAAGCCAUGCUGUACCAUCUUCUUUUUAAAAAUCCUUUGAGGUCCAUAAAAAGUUAUGUCUAAGUCAGUGGUAAGGUUUUUCAUUACUUAAGUGGCCUUUCCAAAAUGUAUUAACUCAUCUUUGUAAAUGUACCUUCUGAAAACCAGAAGAUUGGAGAUUGACUUUUUUUGGUCUCCUUGCAUGUUGCCAAAGUUGUGGUUACCCCAGUAAACUACCUGUUGCAUUAAAAGCGUAUGUAUG